This is a long non-coding RNA of Actinia tenebrosa (Australian red waratah sea anemone), 331 nucleotides long. Lineage: Eukaryota; Metazoa; Cnidaria; Anthozoa; Actiniaria; Actiniidae. The record is from RefSeq and is a predicted model, not a curated record.
UAAUGAAAAACCAUUUGUUAAAUGGCACCAACAUGGCCUCGAUGACGUAACGUGCAAUCAAAGAAUUAUUACUGUGUAUUCUGACACUAUACAUUUUUAUCCCUUGCUCCUCUAGAUAUCUAUUUAAUAAUGUCAUAACCCAGCUACCAGACGGUGUGUUUGCAAACCUUACUCUUAAAUAUUUAUUUCUGAACGGGAAUAGACUGAAAAAACUGACAGGAAGACCAUUCAAAGGAAUGAAGAAAACCAAGACAGCAAUAUACUUCUUUGGAAAUGACAUACAACACAUUGAUAAUGACUACUUUAACGAUCUGGGAAACGAGACUAUGGU